Gorilla gorilla gorilla (western lowland gorilla) is the source of this 94-nucleotide microRNA precursor. Ensembl annotates it as microRNA 575. Its record names the gene MIR575. Lineage: Eukaryota; Metazoa; Chordata; Mammalia; Primates; Hominidae. The record is from Ensembl.
AAUUCAGCCCUGCCACUGGCUUAUGUCAUGACCUUGGGCUACUCAGGCUGUCUGUACAAUGAGCCAGUUGGACAGGAGCAGUGCCACUCAACUC